This is a non-coding RNA of Microcebus murinus (gray mouse lemur), 1560 nucleotides long. NCBI's taxonomy places the organism in Eukaryota, Metazoa, Chordata, Mammalia, Primates, Cheirogaleidae. The record is from RefSeq and is a predicted model, not a curated record.
GCACCUCCCAGCGGGGUCCUGCUCUGAGACAACAUGCUGUGGGGCACAGAAAUUGGUGUGUUAGCCAAGGCUUUCAUCGACCAAGGGAAACUCAUCCCAGAGGAUGUCAUGACUCGGCUGGCCCUUCAUGAGCUGAAAAAUCUCACCCAGUAUAGCUGGCUGUUGGAUGGUUUUCCAAGGACAUUUCCACAGGCAGAAGCCCUAAAUAAAGUUCAUCAGAUAGACACAGUGAUUAACCUGAAUGUGCCCUUUGAGGUCAUUAAACAGAGUCUCACUGCUCGCUGGAUUCAUCCAGCCAGUGGCCGUGUCUACAACUUUGAAUUCAACCCUCCCAAAACUGUGGGCAUUGAUGAUGUGACUGGGGAGCCUCUGGUUCAGCGUGAGGAUGACCAACCAGAGACGGUUAUCAAGAGACUGAAGGCUUAUGAAGCCCAAACGAAGCCAGUCCUGGAAUAUUACCAGAAAAAAGGGGCGUUGGAAACAUUCUCCGGAACAGAAACCAACAAGAUUUGGCCCCACGUAUAUGCUUUCCUGCAAACUAAGGUUCCACAACAAACCAGAAAGCCUCAGUUACUCCAUGAGGAGAAAUGUGUAUAACUAGUAAGAUGAGCAAACCCUUCUUGUCCUUGCAUUUAGAAGCUUCUUUUCUUAAGACUCCAGCUUGUAUGAAUAUUCUUUUAAAAUUAUGUUACUUUUAUUUCUACUGAUUUUAUACUGGAUACUAAGUUGGUGCCAAAUGAGUCAGAUACUAAGAUUAAUUUUUUAAAAUAUCAUCUAAUGUUUUAUCUAGUUACCUACUAUGGGUGUGCAAUUCAAAAAUAUCAAAAAUGUCUAAAGUUUUAUAACAUCUGUUAGAGCAAAAUUAAAAGAACAAUUGGUAGUAAUAUAACCUUUUGUUCAGUAAGAAUAAAUGGAUGAUAAAAUUUCCAUAUUUUUCUGGAAAAGUUUAAAAAAUUACCUGUCAUUUGGGGAAAAUAUCUCUUCAAAAGUUUUUGCAUAGAUUGAUGCCAAAAAUGACAUUUCUGACAUGGUGGAACAUGGCUUCAUGAGAUACCGUAUCUAUAAAAUUCCAGAAAAAAAGCAACUGGAUUUACAGAUCUAUUGCAAGGUACAAAUAAGAAGUAUAUAAGGUAGGCAUGCUGUAUUUUGUUGUUAAACAUACCUUCAGUUUACUCAGAAUUUCAAUUUGCUAUAAAAAUGUAUAAAUUACCAUACAGGAAAAUAAUUACUUUAAGAUGACUUGUUUUCUUUUCAAAAUAUGUAUGUAUUGAGGGAUAUGAUUUAUGUCAGAAAUUGACCUUACAAAUUCUUAGAUAAGCACCAAAGUUGAAUGAAUUUUCAACAGAAAAUGUAAUUAAAGUCUUGUUUUUAGAUGUAACUCAGGUUAAGAAAUGCGUGUUUCAGGAUAUACUUGCCAGUUUUUCUCUUUGAUCCAAAUACGUUCUGCCUUGAUAAAUCUAAGAUACAGUGAAAGAAAAGGAAGGAAGGGAAGAAGAAAAGAAAAAAAAUAAAAGAGAAAACCCAUGGCACUAUGAGCAUACUUUAGGAAAGAGAAAGAGA